AAAAAGACGAUAAGACCCUAUAGAACUACACUUCAGUUUAGCUGGGGCGGCUUUUUAAAAAAAUCUUAUCUCAAUUCCUUAAAACCUAUUUUUAUGAAAGUUACCUUAGGGAUAACAGCAUAAUAUAAUUUUAUAGCUCAUAUAAAAAAUUACGAUUAUGACCUCGAUGUUGAAUUAAACCUCUGCUAGACGAAAAAAAUUAGCAAGAAAGUCUGUUCGACUUAUAAUAAUUUACAUGAUUUGAGUUCAGACCGGUGAAAACCAGGUCGGUUUCUAUCUUUUUUAAAGAUGUACCAGUACGAAAGGACCUUACAACUUACUAAAAGU
Molecule: ribosomal RNA, 327 nt
Filed under: Dysdera coiffaiti
Lineage: Eukaryota; Metazoa; Arthropoda; Arachnida; Araneae; Dysderidae
Description: partial large subunit ribosomal RNA
Rfam family: Bacterial large subunit ribosomal RNA (bases 1-282)
Source: RNAcentral